This is a long non-coding RNA of Pygocentrus nattereri (red-bellied piranha), 253 nucleotides long. RefSeq lists it as uncharacterized. The transcript is spliced from 2 exons. The record is from RefSeq and is a predicted model, not a curated record. Lineage: Eukaryota; Metazoa; Chordata; Actinopteri; Characiformes; Serrasalmidae.
UGUUUUCUAGUGGGGGAAAUAUUCAUUAUUAAGCCUGCUUUUAUUUUGACACUUACCUUCAGUUGAUGUAACUUCCUGUGAUGUCAUAUUCAGCUAGAGGAGGAAGUUCAUUACUUCAGUUGAGUCAGACCAUGCCAAGGUGAAGAGGUGCUCAUCCUUAGGUUGUUCUUGCCCUUGGAAAGGCUUUGCUUUUUUACGAAUCCCAAGGAAGAAUUCUGUGUAUCUGAAGAUUGGAGUAAACUUUCAAAACUCA